AAUGGCAGUGAUGACUCAAUAAUUUCAAGCUCAACAGACCGGAAUGCAGGCUUUUCUUUCUAGAGAAAUUUGCGUGUCGACAACCCCGCUGAACUGAGCCAUC
This is a small nucleolar RNA of Rosa rugosa (rugosa rose), 103 nucleotides long. RefSeq annotates it as small nucleolar RNA Z107/R87. The record is from RefSeq and is a predicted model, not a curated record. NCBI's taxonomy places the organism in Eukaryota, Viridiplantae, Streptophyta, Magnoliopsida, Rosales, Rosaceae. The transcript has a single exon.